RNAcentral lists this ribosomal RNA (405 nucleotides) under uncultured bacterium. RNAcentral's name for it is "bacterial SSU rRNA". It matches the Rfam family "Bacterial small subunit ribosomal RNA", at positions 355 to 759 of the family's 1533-position model. The record is from RNAcentral.
UGAGGAAUAUUGGGCAAUGCCCGAAAGGGUGACCCAGCAACGCCGCGUGGAGGAUGAAGUCCUUCUGGACGUAAACUCCUUUUAGAGGGGACGAAAAGCCCGAUAUGUCGGGAAUUGACGGUACCCUCAGAAAAAGCACCGGCUAACUACGUGCCAGCAGCCGCGGUAAUACGUAGGGUGCAAGCGUUGUCCGGAUUCACUGGGUGUAAAGGGUGCGCAGGCGGGCUCUUAAGUCAAAGGUGAAAUCUCUCGGCUUAACCGAGAAAUUGCCUUUGAUACUGAGAGUCUUGAGUACGGGAGAGGGAGAUGGAAUUCCAGGUGUAGCGGUGAAAUGCGUAGAUAUCUGGAGGAACACCGGAGGCGAAGGCGGUCUCCUGGCCCGUUACUGACGCUCAGGCACGAAAG